UACGGAGGGUGCAAGGGUUAAUCGGAAUUACUGGGCGUCAGGCGAGCGUAGGUGGCUGGAUAAUCCGGUUGUGAAAGCCCCGAGCUUAACUUGGGAACGGCAUCCGGAACUGUCAAGCUAGAGUACAGGAGAGGAAGGUAGAAUUCCCGGUGUAGCGGUGAAAUGCGUAGAGAUCGGGAGGAAUACCAGUGGCGAAGGCGGCCUUCUGGACUGAUACUGACACUGAGGUGCGAAAGCGUGGGUAGCAAACAGG
Molecule: unclassified non-coding RNA, 253 nt
Filed under: uncultured Halomonadaceae bacterium
Lineage: Bacteria; Pseudomonadati; Pseudomonadota; Gammaproteobacteria; Oceanospirillales; Halomonadaceae
Description: contains 16S-23S intergenic spacer region
Rfam family: Bacterial small subunit ribosomal RNA
Source: RNAcentral